Molecule: unclassified non-coding RNA, 331 nt
Filed under: Hevea brasiliensis (rubber tree)
Lineage: Eukaryota; Viridiplantae; Streptophyta; Magnoliopsida; Malpighiales; Euphorbiaceae
Source: RNAcentral
GUGCCUGGAAGGCACCAAGAGCCUUGACUGGGUUCCUUGCAAGCACAACUCAUCCUACUCAGUGUUCCUCUACUCCUUUUGGGCGAUAUGGAAGACGAGAUCGUCUCCGCCGAUGUAGAUGUUAUGAUGUGGAUGAACGCUAUCCUGUUGAAGUUCUGCGAGGGGUCCCUGGCUCAAUGCUUCUACUAUCUGCUUCUAGCAAAUGGAAAUUGUGUUGCUCUUCAUCAUUUUCUUCAGAGUUGUAUGAAGAGAUAUCUCCUGAAAGUUUGUGGGAGGAUCUUAAACCUACUAUUUCAUAUCUUUCUUGCAAGGAAUUGGAAUUGGUUCGUAA